AACGGGGCUAAACCAUGCACCGAAGCUGCGGCAGCGACGCUGAUGCGUUGUUGGGUAGGGGAGCGUUCUGUAAGCCUGCGAAGGUGGCCUGUGAGGGUUGCUGGAGGUAUCAGAAGUGCGAAUGCUGACAUAAGUAACGAUAAAGCGGGUGAAAAGCCCGCUCGCCGGAAGACCAAGGGUUCCUGUCCAACGUUAAUCGGGGCAGGGUGAGUCGACCCCUAAGGCGAGGCCGAAAGGCGUAGUCGAUGGGAAACGGGUUAAUAUUCCCGUACUUGGUGUUACUGCGAAGGGGGGACGGAGAAGGCUAUGUUGGCCGGGCGACGGUUGUCCCGGUUUAAGCGUGUAGGUGUGUGUUCCAGGUAAAUCCGGUUCACUUUAACACUGAGGCGUGAUGACGAGGCACUACGGUGCUGAAGCAACAAAUGCCCUGCUUCCAGGAAAAGCCUCUAAGCAUCAGGUAACAUCAAAUCGUACCCCAAACCGACACAGGUGGUCAGGUAGAGAAUACCAAGGCGCUUGAGAGAACUCGGGUGAAGGAACUAGGCAAAAUGGUGCCGUAACUUCGGGAGAAGGCACGCUGACA
RNAcentral lists this ribosomal RNA (583 nucleotides) under Salmonella enterica. RNAcentral's name for it is "partial 23S ribosomal RNA". It matches the Rfam family "Bacterial large subunit ribosomal RNA", at positions 1174 to 1756 of the family's 2925-position model. The record is from RNAcentral. Lineage: Bacteria; Pseudomonadati; Pseudomonadota; Gammaproteobacteria; Enterobacterales; Enterobacteriaceae.